UCGAAACUCAAAGUCGCUGAGACCUUCUUUGAACAGAUCGAUCAGCAAGCGGCGGAGUCGUUGAAGAAGAACGAGAAUCCAUCGCGAUCUGAGGAUAAAAAAUUUCAUGUACCUACAAAAACGGGAGGAGUAGGUGCUGGUGCUGGUGCUGGUGCUGGUGCUGGUGGAACGGUGUCGUUGAAGGACCAGUUGAAAAAGAAAACAACUCAUGAAACGAUCAAUAGUAAUGGCC
This 232-nucleotide unclassified non-coding RNA is filed under the name Hevea brasiliensis (rubber tree). The record is from RNAcentral. Lineage: Eukaryota; Viridiplantae; Streptophyta; Magnoliopsida; Malpighiales; Euphorbiaceae.